ACUCCUACGGGAGGCAGCAGUGGGGAAUAUUGGACAAUGGGGGGAACCCUGAUCCAGCCAUGCCGCGUGUGUGAAGAAGGCCUUUUGGUUGUAAAGCACUUUAAGCGGGGAGGAGGCUCUGUUGGUUAAUACCCAAUAGCAGUGGACGUUACCCGCAGAAUAAGCACCGGCUAACUCUGUGCCAGCAGCCGCGGUAAUACAGAGGGUGCAAGCGUUAAUCGGAUUUACUGGGCGUAAAGCGCGCGUAGGCGGCUAAUUAAGUCGGAUGUGAAAUCCCCGAGCUCAACUUGGGAAUUGCAUUCGAUACUGGUUAGCUAGAGUGUAGGAGAGGAUGGUAGAAUUCCAGGUGUAGCGGUGAAAUGCGUAGAGAUCUGGAGGAAUACCGAUGGCGAAGGCAGCCAUCUGGCCUAACACUGACGCUGAGGUGCGAAAGCAUGGGGAGCAAACAGGGUUAGAUACCCUGGUAGUCCAUGCUGUAAACGAUGUCUACUAGCCGUUGGGGUCUUUGAGACUUUAGUGGCGCAGCUAACGCGAUAAGUAGACCGCCUGGGGAGUACGGUCGCAAGACUAAAACUCAAAGGAAUUGACGGGGACCCGCACAAGC
RNAcentral lists this ribosomal RNA (604 nucleotides) under uncultured organism. RNAcentral describes it as "bacterial SSU rRNA". It matches the Rfam family "Bacterial small subunit ribosomal RNA", at positions 335 to 930 of the family's 1533-position model. The record is from RNAcentral.